Molecule: unclassified non-coding RNA, 99 nt
Organism: Cavia porcellus (domestic guinea pig)
Lineage: Eukaryota; Metazoa; Chordata; Mammalia; Rodentia; Caviidae
Rfam family: Y RNA
About the family: Y RNAs are components of the Ro ribonucleoprotein particle (Ro RNP), in association with Ro60 and La proteins. The Y RNAs and Ro60 and La proteins are well conserved, but the function of the Ro RNP is not known.
Source: Ensembl
GGCUGGUCCAAUGGCAGUGGGUUUUCAGGACUUAUUAACAUUAGUGUCACUAAAGUUGGUAUACCACCCCCCCCCACUGCUAAAUUUGACUGGCUUUAA